GUCUGUGUGGCUCAGUUGGUAGAGCAUGGUGUUUGCAACGCCAGGGUUGUGGGUUCAAUUCCCACGGGGGACC
RNAcentral lists this transfer RNA (73 nucleotides) under Salmo salar (Atlantic salmon). It matches the Rfam family "tRNA". From Rfam's summary of the family: Transfer RNA (tRNA) molecules are approximately 80 nucleotides in length. The record is from Rfam by way of RNAcentral. Lineage: Eukaryota; Metazoa; Chordata; Actinopteri; Salmoniformes; Salmonidae.